GACGAACGCUGGCGGCGUGCUUAACACAUGCAAGUCGAACGGAAAGGCCCUGCUUUUGUGGGGUGCUCGAGUGGCGAACGGGUGAGUAACACGUGAGUAACCUGCCCUUGACUUUGGGAUAACUUCAGGAAACUGGGGCUAAUAACGGAUAGGAGCUCCUGCUGCAUGGUGGGGGUUGGAAAGUUUCGGCGGUUGGGGAUGGACUCGCGGCUUAUCAGCUUGUUGGUGGGGUAGUGGCUUACCAAGGCUUUGACGGGUAGCCGGCCUGAGAGGGUGACCGGCCACAUUGGGACUGAGAUACGGCCCAGACUGCUACGGGAGGCAGCAGUGGGGAAUAUGGCACAAUGGGCGGAAGCCUGAUGCAGCAACGCCGCGUGCGGGAGGACGGCCUUCGGGUUGUAAACCGCUUUCGCCUGUGACGAAGCGGGAGUGACGGUAAUGGGUAAAGAAGCACCGGCUAACUACGUG
This 468-nucleotide ribosomal RNA is filed under the name uncultured bacterium. RNAcentral describes it as "partial 16S ribosomal RNA". It matches the Rfam family "Bacterial small subunit ribosomal RNA", at positions 28 to 507 of the family's 1533-position model. The record is from RNAcentral.